AGUGAACGCUGGCGGCGUACUUAACACAUGCAAGUCGAACGAGAACGGAUUAUAGCUUGCUAUAAUUGUCAGCUAAGUGGCGCACGGGUGAGUAAUGUAUAGAUAACCUGCCCUCAAGAAAGGAAUAACAGUUGGAAACGACUGCUAAUGCCCUAUAUGCCUUUAAUACAUAAGUAUGCAAGGGAAACGCUUUAGUGCUUGAGGAUGGGUCUGUAUGGUAUCAGUUAGUUGGUGGGGUAAUGGCCUACCAAGACAAUGACGCCUAACUGGUUUGAGAGGAUGAUCAGUCACACUGGAACUGAGACACGGUCCAGACUCCUACGGGAGGCAGCAGUGGGGAAUAUUGCACAAUGGACGAAAGUCUGAUGCAGCAACGCCGCGUGGAGGAUGACACAUUUCGGUGCGUAAACUCCUUUUAUAUAGGAAGAUAAUGACGGUACUAUAUGAAUAAGCA
This 454-nucleotide ribosomal RNA is filed under the name uncultured bacterium. RNAcentral describes it as "bacterial SSU rRNA". It matches the Rfam family "Bacterial small subunit ribosomal RNA", at positions 29 to 492 of the family's 1533-position model. The record is from RNAcentral.